CUCGCAUCUAUUCACCACCUAUCAUCUUUAGUAAAUUAGCUAAAAAAUGAGUUUUUUUUGACACAUCUAAAGAGCCAACAGACAAAUAAUUAUAUAAAAAAAUUUAUCUCAUUUUUAUUUAUAGUAAAAAUAUUAUUUUACUAUGUGGAAGGAAAAAAACUAUUAGGGUAUAUUUUUGUUUAUAAAAAAAAAAAAAAAAACAUGCCUUGAUAGUUACAUC
This 220-nucleotide long non-coding RNA is filed under the name Elaeis guineensis (African oil palm). Its description in RNAcentral is "long non-coding RNA (EGUI_LNC012687)". The record is from RNAcentral. Lineage: Eukaryota; Viridiplantae; Streptophyta; Magnoliopsida; Arecales; Arecaceae.